AUUGAACAUAAGAGUUUGAUCCUGGCUCAGAUUGAACGCUGGCGGCAUGCUUUACACAUGCAAGUCGGACGGCAGCACAGGGAAGCUUGCUUCUCGGGUGGCGAGUGGCGAACGGGUGAGUAACAUAUCGGAACGUACCGGGUAGCGGGGGAUAACUGAUCGAAAGAUCAGCUAAUACCGCAUACGUCUUGAGAGGGAAAGCAGGGGACCUUCGGGCCUUGCGCUAUCCGAGCGGCCGAUAUCUGAUUAGCUGGUUGGCGGGGUAAAGGCCCACCAAGGCGACGAUCAGUAGCGGGUCUGAGAGGAUGAUCCGCCACACUGGGACUGAGACACGGCCCAGACUCCUACGGGAGGCAGCAGUGGGGAAUUUUGGACAAUGGGCGCAAGCCUGAUCCAGCCAUGCCGCGUGUCUGAAGAAGGCCUUCGGGUUGUAAAGGACUUUUGUCAGGGAAGAAAAGGCCGUUGCCAAUAUCGGCGGCCGAUGACGGUACCUGAAGAAUAAGCACCGGCUAACUACGUGCCAGCAGCCGCGGUAAUACGUAGGGUGCGAGCGUUAAUCGGAAUUACUGGGCGUAAAGCGGGCGCAGACGGUUACUUAAGCAGGAUGUGAAAUCCCCGGGCUCAACCCGGGAACUGCGUUCUGAACUGGGUGACUCGAGUGUGUCAGAGGGAGGUGGAAUUCCACGUGUAGCAGUGAAAUGCGUAGAGAUGUGGAGGAAUACCGAUGGCGAAGGCAGCCUCCUGGGAUAACACUGACGUUCAUGUCCGAAAGCGUGGGUAGCAAACAGGAUUAGAUACCCUGGUAGUCCACGCCCUAAACGAUGUCAAUUAGCUGUUGGGCAACUUGAUUGCUUGGUAGCGUAGCUAACGCGUGAAAUUGACCGCCUGGGGAGUACGGUCGCAAGAUUAAAACUCAAAGGAAUUGACGGGGACCCGCACAAGCGGUGGAUGAUGUGGAUUAAUUCGAUGCAACGCGAAGAACCUUACCUGGUUUUGACAUGUGCGGAAUCCUCCGGAGACGGAGGAGUGCCUUCGGGAGCCGUAACACAGGUGCUGCAUGGCUGUCGUCAGCUCGUGUCGUGAGAUGUUGGGUUAAGUCCCGCAACGAGCGCAACCCUUGUCAUUAGUUGCCAUCAUUCGGUUGGGCACUCUAAUGAGACUGCCGGUGACAAGCCGGAGGAAGGUGGGGAUGACGUCAAGUCCUCAUGGCCCUUAUGACCAGGGCUUCACACGUCAUACAAUGGUCGGUACAGAGGGUAGCCAAGCCGCGAGGCGGAGCCAAUCUCACAAAACCGAUCGUAGUCCGGAUUGCACUCUGCAACUCGAGUGCAUGAAGUCGGAAUCGCUAGUAAUCGCAGGUCAGCAUACUGCGGUGAAUACGUUCCCGGGUCUUGUACACACCGCCCGUCACACCAUGGGAGUGGGGGAUACCAGAAGUAGGUAGGGUAACCGCAAGGAGUCCGCUUACCACGGUAUGCUUCAUGACUGGGGUGAAGUCGUAACAAGGUAGCCGUAGGGGAACCUGCGGCUGGAUCACCUCCUUUCU
Molecule: ribosomal RNA, 1546 nt
Filed under: Neisseria gonorrhoeae
Lineage: Bacteria; Pseudomonadati; Pseudomonadota; Betaproteobacteria; Neisseriales; Neisseriaceae
Description: bacterial SSU rRNA
Rfam family: Bacterial small subunit ribosomal RNA
Source: RNAcentral